This 249-nucleotide ribosomal RNA is filed under the name Triticum aestivum (bread wheat). RNAcentral's name for it is "partial small subunit ribosomal RNA". The record is from RNAcentral. Lineage: Eukaryota; Viridiplantae; Streptophyta; Magnoliopsida; Poales; Poaceae.
CAGAUAUUGAAUUAGUUCAUGCUUGUCCGACAAGCUUGGCGCCUUCUCCAGAAUCCCAACACUUUGAGUGCUCGGCUUUUGAAAAGCAUUUACUUCCCUAACACAAAUAUCCUCAAUGCCAACAUGGGAAAUCACCCUAGUCAAAUAUGGAGAGCCAUUAUAGAUGGGCGCGAUACUUUGCAGCAAGGCAUUAUAAAAAGAAUAGGCAAUGGCCUCACAACUCAUAUAUGGCAUGAGAAUUGGCUACCG